Molecule: non-coding RNA, 781 nt
Organism: Peromyscus maniculatus bairdii (prairie deer mouse)
Lineage: Eukaryota; Metazoa; Chordata; Mammalia; Rodentia; Cricetidae
Source: RefSeq, a predicted model, not a curated record
AAGUGACCCUGUCUUUGCCAUGUGCUCUGUUGCUAUUUAUCGUGACAUCUCGGACUCUUCUCUCAACAGCGGUGACUCUUCUAUGCCCAUUUUGCCGAUGACAAACUGUGCUGGUCCACACAGCGAGAUGUCGCCCACAAUUGUGGAGUUGAAAAGCCUCCCUAGUUCAACCUCUGGUGAGGAGCCUAUGGAAGUUGCCAUCUCAGCAGUCGACGUGUGCCUGGGAACAAGAGGUCAGGUCACCAGAUGGAGCCAGAGCACUGGGGAGGGCCAGGCAUGCUCUUCUUAUAACCACCCUGUGUGGGAACGAAGGGACCAUGACUACUACUUUAAUCUCAUCUGAGAGCAGAGCCUACAAUAUACCAAGACCCCCCCCCCCCAGGUCCACCUCUUAAAGGCCCCACCACCCCCUUCACCUGUGCACCAAGAACCAAGCCUCCAGCAUGUGACCCACUGGGGGACACUUGAGCCAUACCCAACCACAGCAGCCACUUUGCCUGGGACAAGAUCUGAGAACUUCAGUGGACGCCUACAGGAUGAGUCUCCACCCACAAAGGGAGCUCCACACUGGACGGCCCUUUUCAGUAACUUUCUCAUAAACAGUCUGGUACACAGCGGGAGCCCCAUGCAUCUUUGAAAGUGGGGUCCACAGGGGAGAAGACUCAACAGAAAGAUCUUUAAAUGAAUGGCCCCUCCCUGGCCCUGGGGAAUAUAUUAGGGCUGAAGUGAUGGCCGAAACGGGACAGUAAUCCAGGGAAGACAGGGAGACGAAUCGGGCAGG